AUACUUCCCUGGCAGGGGAUACCGUGAUCACAAAGGUGGUUUUCCCAGGGUGAGGCCUACCCAUUGCACUCCGGGUGUGCUGACCCCUGCGGCGGCCCCACCUGUGGGGAACUGGACUGCACAAUCUGUGGUAGUGGGGGGCUGUGUUCAUACUUUUCCUUG
Molecule: small nuclear RNA, 162 nt
Filed under: Tupaia belangeri (northern tree shrew)
Lineage: Eukaryota; Metazoa; Chordata; Mammalia; Scandentia; Tupaiidae
Description: U1 spliceosomal RNA (ENSTBEG00000018494.1)
Rfam family: U1 spliceosomal RNA
About the family: U1 is a small nuclear RNA (snRNA) component of the spliceosome (involved in pre-mRNA splicing). Its 5' end forms complementary base pairs with the 5' splice junction, thus defining the 5' donor site of an intron. There are significant differences in sequence and secondary structure between metazoan and yeast U1 snRNAs, the latter being much longer (568 nucleotides as compared to 164 nucleotides in human).
Source: RNAcentral